UACGUAGGGGGCUAGCGUUGUCCGGAAUUAUUGGGCGUAAAGCGCGUGUAGGCGGCUUUGCAAGUCGGGUGUGAAAGCCCCGGGCUCAACCUGGGAAUUGCAUUCGAGACUGCUCUGCUAGGGUGCGGAAGAGGGAAGCGGAAUUUCCGGUGUAGCGGUGAAAUGCGUAGAUAUCGGAAGGAACACCAGUGGCGAAAGCGGCUUCCUGGUCCAGCACCGACGUCAGGCACGAAAGCGUGGGGAGCAAACAGG
Molecule: ribosomal RNA, 252 nt
Filed under: uncultured bacterium
Lineage: Bacteria
Description: partial 16S ribosomal RNA
Rfam family: Bacterial small subunit ribosomal RNA
Source: RNAcentral